UUUUUUGUGUGCAUUUGUUUCUUCCUGGCUCUCUUUAUACAUUAAGUGUUGCUGACUUGAUCUGACCAAUGAGGGACUGGCUAGAAUACUGAGGGAGGAGCCACCUUUCAAAUACAGAAUCCAAGAUGGCUGCCGGAGAGAGCGGAUAUGUCAACACGAUAUGCUGUGGUUUUAGUUUGGUGUUAAACUGAACGACUCUGUUGGCCUAAUCUACUGACACUAUUCCUAGGUUGGGUUGAGGUAACUCAGUGUAUUGAGGUAGAACUCUAAUCUGAUUAGUUUCACUAAGGUGCUGAGCAGCAGAACCCGAUGUAUUUAGUUAUUGGCCAGGAAAGCUUAGAGUCUCUUUUGUAACUGAAGAAAAGGGAGGUAUGUCAACCACACCCAACUUCACAGCAGAGGUUGUGACAUUUAGGAGAGGCCAGAAAAUAAUCAUCAGAUCCAACCACCAGAUACAGAGCAGGAGGAGCUGUGAUAUUGAAGAUGACCAGUGUAAGAUUCCUCGUUCCUGUGCUGCAGUAAACUGCAGGAAAUGGAACUGAAAAGGAGUUUGGAGGCGGACAGAGGGAACACUGGAACUCCACACAUGAAUUCCUUCUCUUUUUCUAGACUCGUUUCUGAACAGGAAGCUUUUUGUUACUUAAUAUUACUUAUUAAAGCAGAUGUAAUAGCGUAGAACUGUUAGAGAUGAUGAGGAGACCUGCUUUGAGGUUUCCAGUUAAUCAAUGCAGACAGACCAGUUGGAGAACAGAAACAGAAAUGUAGACGCUGCUGAAAAAGGAAUGGACUGAAGAAUUCCCUUAGAGAUAAAGAUAAAGAAAUAUUAAAGCAAAUAAAGGUUUAAAAUACUUUGA
Molecule: long non-coding RNA, 854 nt
Organism: Astyanax mexicanus (Mexican tetra)
Lineage: Eukaryota; Metazoa; Chordata; Actinopteri; Characiformes; Acestrorhamphidae
Exons: 3
Source: RefSeq, a predicted model, not a curated record